Molecule: long non-coding RNA, 2042 nt
Organism: Mastomys coucha (southern multimammate mouse)
Lineage: Eukaryota; Metazoa; Chordata; Mammalia; Rodentia; Muridae
Exons: 3
Source: RefSeq, a predicted model, not a curated record
UUGACCACCCAACAGAGCUGUUUCCACAGACAGGGAUGGGUUGACACAUGGCUGAGGUCCACUUGGGGGUUACCCAGGGGCCUCCUGGCUCUCCUCUCCCCAGGAACUGGCCUCAGAGUAUUCGUGAGUUCCUCAGGCAGGAGGUAUGUCCAGCCUGAGCUUCAGUACGGCCAUGCCAUGAGAGGAGCCCGUUCUGUGAGGAAUCCAACUGCCAGAGUUCUAAUGACCCUCUGGAAGUCUUCCUGUUCCUGCCUGAGCAGGGCUUCCGCCCUCACCCCAUGAACUGUCACACGGCCCUGUCACCCACAGCUGCAGAGGCCAUGGUACCUGGGCUUCAGCCUCCUCCACGCUCAGACGAACAAAUAUCUGGGCUGGGACAACUGCUGAAGAAACCCGGAUGCGUGUGUGCCCGGAGAUACAGGCUUGAGUGUGUACCCUGCUGUAGGCUUUCUCAGCCUCGUCGCCCAGGGUAAUUUGUAGACCGGAGUCCAAGGUUGAAGGUCGAAUGGGAUGACAUCAGCAGCCAUCCGGUGGGAGAUGAGCCCUGCCGUGGUUCAUGGAGAGGGGACUCGGGGAAGGCAGUCAGGCAGCCAGGCAGCCAGGCAGCCAGGCAGAAUAAAAUUCAAAUUCUGCAAAGCGAUGUCUGAAGUGACAGGUUUCCAACAAGCUGCAUCCUCAGGAUGGCAGGUCGGGGUAGAAAGUGACAAUAAUGCAGGGCAGGGCAGCAUUGCAGUCACAUGCUGGGACUGAGGGCGAACCCAUGACACAUGCUAAGAGCUACUGGCAGAAUUCUUAACACUUUUAAAUCCCAGGGGUUUUGUUAUUAUUUUUAAAAUAUUUACACCCCACAAACACAUAGAGCAACUGAAUUCCCUUGUCACUAACCAUCCUUGUCCUUUGAUCUUAGAAAAUAAGUUCCCAAAAGCUUUACAUCAAGGCCCAUAAUAAAGGUGGAAUGUAAGGAUGGGUGGGAAAAGCACCCCAGGACAGCAGGUUCUCCCUCAAAUUCAUUCAGUAGAGAGAGGACUAGAAGCCAUCAGUGCUCACAGGCCACAGAUCUUCUCACAACCUCAUGGGUAACACACAGGCCGGCACAGAGGAAGACAUGCAUGUAAUUAUGGCAUCCAAGGUGUCCUCCCCGGCCCGCCUCUUCCAGGUAUGUUCAAUACCAGCUUACAGUUUUCAAGUCAGUGUGUGGGAACCACUUGGAAGGUCAUCAAUGCAAGGCAGGGAAUCCACCUGCUUCGAAUGAAUAUAUAGGUCAUUUCCACGAGGCGGGACCCUGUGAUGGAAGGUCAGGGGUUAAACUCUCGCCUUCCCAAGGGCUGUACUGUUGCACAGGCGAACACCUGCCCAAGCAUUCACACCCUGGAGUGUGGGUGUCACUAUGCACGGUGGUUUCCAGGCUUGCAGCCACUCCUUAAAGGAACACAGCACCCAGGAAGUUUGCUGGGCUCUCUGCUUAGCUCUCACAGGAGACAUUGUUCAUUCUCAAGCAGACCCCACAACUGGACGGAGCCAGCAGCCAUGACCAGCGUCUGCCUUGCUACAUGAACGUUGGCAGCAUAUGACCUCUGCUGCCAGCUCUCCACUGUGGCAUUUCUAGGGUCAGGUUCACAGAAUGUCACCUCUCCUGUCCCACAGACCUCUCCCAUGCGGAAAGAUAAACAUCACAUGCAGAGAUGUGAUGUGGAUCACCAGCCAUCACCGGAGAAGCCUGAGAUGUCUUUGGGUGACCACAUUUCCCAUCCCAAACUCUCUGGCCUCAAAAUUGGGUUACCUAAAAGCCACUUAAAAUAUCACAGUGUUGGGGGCCAGUGCCGUUCAGGAUAGCCCUCACCAGCAGGCAGUAGACAGGCCUCCUAGCUACCACUAGGCCAGUUUGAAGAAAACCCAAGUAUAAAGCCCACCCCUUUCUCAUCGGCCAGGACAGCUACUGUUUGCUGAAGUCUGCAGAGCUUCAUUCCCACAGUGAAAAACACAAGAGAACUUAGGGAUUCUUGAACUUCAGUGUCCCAAGCAAUUAAAUUAUUUCAAUUGGC